Non-coding RNA from Otolemur garnettii (small-eared galago), 282 nucleotides. NCBI's taxonomy places the organism in Eukaryota, Metazoa, Chordata, Mammalia, Primates, Galagidae. The record is from Rfam.
UGCUGUGAGGGUGACCAGGUUUCAACAUCUGUCUGCCCUUUGAUUGCCAAGGUUGAUUAGGCUGAUCUGACUGGCCAGAUGGGUGUCCCCUUCCUCUCUCACCAUUCCACGAGCUCCUCACCAGAAGCUGCAUGCUCAGUGAAGAGGAAGACCUUUCCCAAUAGACUGGACCUUUCUUUGGUCAAGGGUGUAGCAACAGCAGCACUUUCCUGGUAAAACUUCCAAACAAGCAUUCAAAGUAAUGUGAGCAAAAGUGACAUGUUUUCACUAUUGGGCCAAAGU